AGAGUUUGAUCCUGGCUCAGAUUGAACGCUGGCGGCAUGCUUACACAUGCAAGUCGAACGGUAACAGGCGAAGCUUGCUUCGCGCUGACGAGUGGCGGACGGGUGAGUAACGCGUAGGAAUCUGCCCUGAAGUGGGGGACAACCUGGUGAAAACCAGGCUAAUACCGCAUACGCCCUACGGGGGAAAGCGGGGGACCUUCGGGCCUCGCGCUUCAGGAUGAGCCUGCGUUGGAUUAGCUAGUUGGUAGGGUAAAGGCCUACCAAGGCGACGAUCCAUAGCUGUUCUGAGAGGAAGAUCAGCCACACUGGGACUGAGACACGGCCCAGACUCCUACGGGAGGCAGCAGUGGGGAAUAUUGCACAAUGGGCGCAAGCCUGAUGCAGCAAUGCCGCGUGUGUGAAGAAGGCCUGCGGGUUGUAAAGCACUUUCGAUUGGGAAGAAAAGCGAGUGGCUAAUACCCACUUAACUUGACGUUACCAACAGAAGAAGCACCGGCUAACUCCGUGCCAGCAGCCGCGGUAAUACGGAGGGUGCAAGCGUUAAUCGGAAUUACUGGGCGUAAAGCGUGCGUAGGCGGCGUAGUCAGUCAGAUGUGAAAGCCCUGGGCUCAACCUGGGAACUGCAUUUGAUACUGCUAAGCUAGAAUAUGGUAGAGGGAAGUGGAAUUCCAGGUGUAGCGGUGAAAUGCGUAGAGAUCUGGAGGAACACCGGUGGCGAAGGCGGCUUCCUGGACCAAUAUUGACGCUGAGGUACGAAAGCGUGGGUAGCAAACAGGAUUAGAUACCCUGGUAGUCCACGCUGUAAACGAUGUCAACUAGCCGUUGGGUCCAUUUAAGGGCUUAGUGGCGUAGCUAACGCGAUAAGUUGACCGCCUGGGGAGUACGGCCGCAAGGUUAAAACUCAAAGGAAUUGACGGGGGCCCGCACAAGCGGUGGAGCAUGUGGUUUAAUUCGAUGCAACGCGAAGAACCUUACCAGCCCUUGACAUCCUGGAAAUUUGCUAGAGAUGCUUUGGUGCCUUCGGGAGCCGAGUGACAGGUGCUGCAUGGCUGUCGUCAGCUCGUUUCGUGAGAUGUUGGGUUAAGUCCCGUAACGAGCGCAACCCUUGUCCUUAGUUGCCAGCACAUAAUGGUGGGAACUCUAAGGAGACUGCCGGUGAUAAACCGGAGGAAGGUGGGGAUGACGUCAAGUCAUCAUGGCCC
RNAcentral lists this ribosomal RNA (1202 nucleotides) under metagenome. RNAcentral describes it as "bacterial SSU rRNA". It matches the Rfam family "Bacterial small subunit ribosomal RNA", at positions 8 to 1201 of the family's 1533-position model. The record is from RNAcentral.